RNAcentral lists this long non-coding RNA (224 nucleotides) under Brassica napus (rape). RNAcentral describes it as "long non-coding RNA (BNAP_LNC000544)". The record is from RNAcentral. Lineage: Eukaryota; Viridiplantae; Streptophyta; Magnoliopsida; Brassicales; Brassicaceae.
UGGUCUUUUAUCUACUCCAAAAUUCUUGGCUAAGUUCCCAAAGAUUUUUCGUAUGAUCUUUUGCUUAUUCUCCAAACCAUAAUCGAUGAAUCCAAUUCACUCGACCACGUAUCUUGAUGCUUGUGUAGAAAAUACUACUUCCUGAACUCAUGAAAUCUGUCCAACUCGAACUCAACUCUCUGAAGUAACUCUUGACUCUCGACCAACAACUCAUAGCGUUCAUC